RNAcentral lists this ribosomal RNA (506 nucleotides) under uncultured bacterium. RNAcentral's name for it is "partial 16S ribosomal RNA". It matches the Rfam family "Bacterial small subunit ribosomal RNA", at positions 28 to 523 of the family's 1533-position model. The record is from RNAcentral.
GAUGAACGCUAGCUACAGGCUUAACACAUGCAAGCCGAGGGGUAACGAGAGGAAAGCUUGCUUUCCUUGUCGACGACCGGCGCACGGGUGAGUAACGCGUAUCCAACCUGCCCCCAACUAGGGAAUAACCUUGCGAAAGUAAGACUAAUACCCUAUACUUUCCUCAGAUGACAUCUGACGAGGAAUAAAGAUUUAUCGGUUGUGGAUGGGGAUGCGUCUGAUUAGCUUGUUGGCGGGGUAACGGCCCACCAAGGCAACGGUCAGUAGGGGUUCUGAGAGGAAGGUCCCCCACAUUGGAACUGAGACACGGUCCAAACUCCUACGGGAGGCAGCAGUGAGGAAUAUUGGUCAAUGGGCGGAAGCCUGAACCAGCCAAGUAGCGUGCAGGAUGACGGCCCUAUGGGUUGUAAACUGCUUUUAUACAGGAAUAAAGUUAGCCACGUGUGGUUAUUUGUAGGUACUGUAUGAAUAAGGACCGGCUAAUUCCGUGCCAGCAGCCGCCGUAA